CAGCCGCCGCGGUAAUACGGAGGGUGCAAGCGUUAAUCGGAAUUACUGGGCGUAAAGCGUGCGUAGGCGGUUCGUUAAGUCUGUUGUGAAAGCCCCGGGCUCAACCUGGGAAUGGCAAUGGAUACUGGCGAGCUAGAGUGUGUCAGAGGAUGGUGGAAUUCCCGGUGUAGCGGUGAAAUGCGUAGAGAUCGGGAGGAACAUCAGUGGCGAAGGCGGCCAUCUGGGACAACACUGACGCUGAGGCACGAAAGCGUGGGGAGCAAACAGGAUUAGAUACCCCGUAGUCCCUGUCUCUUAUACA
This 301-nucleotide ribosomal RNA is filed under the name uncultured bacterium. RNAcentral's name for it is "partial 16S ribosomal RNA". It matches the Rfam family "Bacterial small subunit ribosomal RNA", at positions 509 to 808 of the family's 1533-position model. The record is from RNAcentral.